UUCGGGAGGGCGCUUACCACUUUGUGAUUCAUGACUGGGGUGAAGUCGUAACAAGGUAACCGUAGGGGAACCUGCGGUUGGAUCACCUCCUUACCUUAAAGAAGC
This 105-nucleotide ribosomal RNA is filed under the name Escherichia coli. Its description in RNAcentral is "partial 16S ribosomal RNA". The stretch from base 1 to 93 matches the Rfam family "Bacterial small subunit ribosomal RNA", at positions 1441 to 1533 of the family's 1533-position model. RNAcentral also lists the same sequence under 9 other names. The record is from RNAcentral. Lineage: Bacteria; Pseudomonadati; Pseudomonadota; Gammaproteobacteria; Enterobacterales; Enterobacteriaceae.